Molecule: long non-coding RNA, 197 nt
Organism: Cotesia glomerata
Lineage: Eukaryota; Metazoa; Arthropoda; Insecta; Hymenoptera; Braconidae
Exons: 2
Source: RefSeq, a predicted model, not a curated record
UCAUACGAGAGUACCAAUAAUUUAUUGUACAGAUAUCUAACUAAAUUCAUGUAAAAAGUUAUACAGUCAUAUUAAAUACAAAACUAUUUAGUCCUGGCAGAGACCAGUGGUCUCAGCUCUUUGAGAGAAACGACAUGUUUCUUUUAAGCCUCAGUAGUGGUUGGUACUUCAGUAGUUUUUACCUCUCUGCGUACACG